Molecule: ribosomal RNA, 492 nt
Filed under: uncultured bacterium
Lineage: Bacteria
Description: partial 16S ribosomal RNA
Rfam family: Bacterial small subunit ribosomal RNA
Source: RNAcentral
AGUGAACGCUGGCGGUAGGCCUAACACAUGCAAGUCGAACGGCAGCACAGUAAGAGCUUGCUCUUACGGGUGGCGAGUGGCGGACGGGUGAGGAAUACAUCGGAAUCUACUUUUUCGUGGGGGAUAACGUAGGGAAACUUACGCUAAUACCGCAUACGACCUACGGGUGAAAGCAGGGGAUCUUCGGACCUUGCGCGAUUGAAUGAGCCGAUGUCGGAUUAGCUAGUUGGCGGGGUAAAGGCCCACCAAGGCGACGAUCCGUAGCUGGUCUGAGAGGAUGAUCAGCCACACUGGAACUGAGACACGGUCCAGACUCCUACGGGAGGCAGCAGUGGGGAAUAUUGGACAAUGGGCGCAAGUCUGAUCCAGCCAUACCGCAUGGGUGAAGAAGGCCUUCGGGUUGUAAAGCCCUUUUGUUGGGAAAGAAAAGCAGCAGGUUAAUACCCCGCUGUUCUGACGGUACCCAAAGAAUAAGCACCGGCUAACUUCGUG